UACGUAGGGGGCAAGCGUUGUCCGGAGUUACUGGGCGUAAAGCGCGCGCAGGCGGUUCUCCAAGUCAGUGGUGAAAGCCCGGAGCUCAACUCCGGAACUGCCAUUGAAACUGGUGAACUUGAGGACGAGAGAGGUGAGUGGAAUUCCCAGUGUAGAGGUGAAAUUCGUAGAUAUUGGGAAGAACACCAGUGGCGAAGGCGGCUCACUGGCUCGUAUCUGACGCUCAGGCGCGAUAGCGUGGGGAUCAAACAGG
Molecule: ribosomal RNA, 253 nt
Filed under: uncultured bacterium
Lineage: Bacteria
Description: partial 16S ribosomal RNA
Rfam family: Bacterial small subunit ribosomal RNA
Source: RNAcentral